Hemicordylus capensis (graceful crag lizard) is the source of this 797-nucleotide long non-coding RNA. RefSeq lists it as uncharacterized. The record is from RefSeq and is a predicted model, not a curated record. Lineage: Eukaryota; Metazoa; Chordata; Lepidosauria; Squamata; Cordylidae. The transcript is spliced from 4 exons.
GGGGGAGGGGGAACCUUCAUGGACACACACACACCCGUGGUCUAUAGGAAGCCCCCUGAAGGGGCUACAGCUAUAUGCAGGCAUCUACAAAUCCACUUGCCAGCUAGCCAGUGGCACAUACCCCUAGCCUCUGAGCAGGACACCCAGCAUCACAUUCCUCUGAGCAGGACACCCAGCAUCACACGGAUUUCCUUACCAGUUCCAUUUCCACUGCCAUUUUUGAGAAGGUUGAGGCAGUGACCAGGAGAACGUUUUAUCAGCUUCAGCUGAUACGUCAGCUACACCCAUUUCUGAAGAUCCAAAAGGAAUUCAUAAAAAUUCACACCUGCCCAAGGUAAAGAAGCAGAAAGCAUAUGAAAGCUAGAAUGGUUAUGCAUACAAAAGAACAAGCCUUGCUAAAGAAGGAUCAGCACAAGCACAGCUUCUGCAAAGGGGAGUCUUGCCUCAGCAGCCUCUUCAGGCCAACUAGAGACAGUACCGCAAUACUGAGUUCCAUUUCUCAGAUUCAGAACGCCGGCUGAAGCAGCAGGUUGAUAGUGGAACGGAAGUGCAUUAUCAUUAGCCAAUGCAUAUGGCACUUCACAAUGAACAAGAGGUCAAUUCUCUGCACUAAGGGAAUUGAAAUCCAUCAUUCAACGCAGGAGAAAACAGAGAAGAAAGAGGGAAAUUAAGGCAGUGUAAAGCAUAAUACACCUUCGUUUCAGCUCAGUUGGCGGCGACAAAACACGCUUCCUAAUGAAAUUAGAGUUUCCUCUUCUCUGGAUGUUUUUAAGAAGGACCUGAAAACAUAGCUGUUU